Molecule: long non-coding RNA, 335 nt
Organism: Dermacentor silvarum
Lineage: Eukaryota; Metazoa; Arthropoda; Arachnida; Ixodida; Ixodidae
Exons: 3
Source: RefSeq, a predicted model, not a curated record
ACGCUGAAAAUAAAACAAUAUGGACGGUCAAUACGACCAUAACGACAACCAACAUCACAUGUAAAUGCGAUAUAGUGAAUGAAACAACCCACGAUAAAACAUUUUUUCAAAGACGCUAUUACUGGAAUAAAACAACGGUCAGCAACAACCUCGAAGGAAAGUUCAUGCAGAUGGGACUCAUUAAUACGAAGUCAACCUUUGAUGGAAUGCUGGUCGGCCCCAAAGGUGGGCUAUACACAACGAAAACGCAGCUACUCUACGUAGACGAUGCCUACCAGUGUGGCCUCUUCUCUGUAUCUCUAACGAAUGGGGGUAAGUUGCCAAAAAAUAAAGUU